CAUCAUUUAAUUAUUAUUUGUGACAUUUCAACUACAUUUUAGAUAUUAUAGAAAUAUAUGCAAAUAUAUGUAAAAGUAUAAACAUAAAAAUCAGAAAGUGUUUAAAAAUUAUCACAUUUUAUUUUGAAAUAAUAUAGGACUCACUGAAGUUGUAAAAAUAAUUCGGAGAGAUCCCCUGUACCCUUCACCCGGCUUUCCCCAAAGACAGCAUUUCACAUAACCACAGCACAUUCUAAACAUUAGGAAAUUGAUUCAAUAUUGUUAACUCAGUUAGAGGCUUUAUUCAGGCUUCAGCAGUUUUACAUGCACUCUUUUCUGGGGUGUAUAAUAACAUGUAGAAAUGCAUAAAACACCAGCGUUAAGAAAGCAUCUCUCACCAAUGAAUAUUGAUGAUAUGCAAGAUUCUCAGACAAUGUGGUUUUACGCAUCUUGUGAUUGACUAAAAGAGAAGUAGAGCUGGUUGCAUUUAGGAAGGUCCUUUAUACCUAAUUGCUUUAGCCAUACGUUAAUUAACUAAUCAAUUAAUCAAUCCGAAUCAAGUGCCAACUAUGAGCCAGCCUCUUUGAUAAAGUGGAGACGCAAAGAUGGAAACUCAAAUUGGAUCCAUAUUAAAGAAGAGAAGGAUGGAUUUGUUUAGACAACACAAACCUAGGAAGGGUUUGAGAGGUGAAACAAACUGGGUUAUGGAUGAACGGGGGCAAUUGGAAUGUAGAAUUGAAGCAGUAAUUAACAUCUUGGCUUUGAUAAUGCACCAACUGCAAGUGGAUUCAUUGGCUCUGUGUCAGCUGGUGCAUGUAGGAAGCUGAAGAAUAUUUUCUUGCCAACGUUUUGGCAAGACUUAUUUUUUCCCGGGGGGUGGGCGCAAGGGUGCAAUCCAAUAAUAAUUAAAAAAAAGACUGUAUAACCAUUGUGUAGGAAGAGCUUCAGCCACCCUACAGCCGAGAGCGAGUUGGUCUUCCACAAGUCACUGGGGGAGAUGAAGGGUACACUGUAGUCAGGUGGAGUCUCUUUGGGCCUAAAAUCACUAUAGGACACUUUUCCAAAGUACCCUGGUGUCUUCAGUGAUCCUGAGUGCUGGCACUUGCACUUUGUCACUACAUCCAUCCCAGAGCU
This 1113-nucleotide long non-coding RNA is filed under the name Homo sapiens (human). RNAcentral's name for it is "non-protein coding NR2F2-AS1:18". The record is from RNAcentral. Lineage: Eukaryota; Metazoa; Chordata; Mammalia; Primates; Hominidae.